UAUUACUGAUGGCCUUUUUACAGUCACUAUUUUGUCCUAAAUUAAUUUCUGACUUUCUUACAUUACUUUCUGGUAUGUUUUCAGGAACAGAAUUUUUGUUAUGACAUUUGAAAUUAUCAAAGUGGUUUCUUUAUAGAACAAUAUUAGAGAAUCUUAGAGAUUUGAGAAGGUUCUUAGAGAUACUAAAUAGCUCUUUAAUGUAUCAUGGUGAUAAAUAUACAUUUUAUCACAAUAGAUGACAUGUCUUUUUUUAAGUGAGAAAACAUAUGCAGUAUAAAAUAUUCUUAUACAUAAUAUAUUCUUACAAGAUAAAUUUGUUUUUAUAUGUAUAUUUUCAGUGAAAGAGUUUCUAGCCAAAGCCAAAGAAGACUUUUUGAAAAAAUGGGAGAAUCCAACUCAGAAUAAUGCCGGACUUGAAGAUUUUGAAAGGAAAAAAACCCUUGGAACAGGUUCAUUUGGAAGAGUCAUGUUGGUAAAACACAAAGCCACUGAACAGUAUUAUGCCAUGAAGAUCUUAGAUAAGCAGAAGGUUGUUAAAC
RNAcentral lists this small RNA (539 nucleotides) under Pongo abelii (Sumatran orangutan). RNAcentral's name for it is "processed transcript". The record is from RNAcentral. Lineage: Eukaryota; Metazoa; Chordata; Mammalia; Primates; Hominidae.